AACAGUAUCAAGCAUAUACGAGCACACGAUCCAUCUUACAGUUACAGAAUCACCGAGACAGAGAAAAUACAUCAAUAAUUCUCCUCUACAUUUUUUUUUUCCUUUCUUUUUCUUCUCUUUUUCUUUCCAUUAAUUUUGUUCCCCACUCCAUCAACUCCACUACCCUAUGCUCCCCACCAUCUCCACUACCUUUGCUCCCCAUCAACUCCAACACUUCACCCAUUCCUUCCAUUUCGCACCAGCAAUCACAAAGAGAAGGAAGACUUGGCUUAACUACUUUGCCAAGAUUUCAAGCUGCUCCAGUCCAGUAGUACCCCAACACUCGAAGCUAGAGUUUAUUGGGUGAAAAACCGUGCAUGAGGUCGAGCGCAAGAAUAAGAGCUCGUCAAGGAGUCACUAAUCUGUAGCAAAGCUUUGCUAUCAGGUGGGUUACUUUCAUAUAUAUCAAAUGAGUUUAAUGUUAUGUUUGAACAGUUAUUUCAUUGCAAAAUCUUUGAACUGAAAAUUAUUUCAAAUGUUGUCUUGCCAUAAAUGUUUCAAUGUUUGGUAUGAUAUCUAUCUGAUGUGGCUUUGCCAGUUAUUAUGCAAUCGAAUUCGGGUCCUGAGCAGUUGAUAGCUAUCCUGCCAGGGCUAGUGUACACCAGUGACCGUGAGUCAUCUAGCGGGUUGGCCGGUCAAGUGACCGUGAGAGGUGGCCACCUCUCCGGCACACAGUUCCAGAUAUGAUAGAUUACAAGAGAACUUAGUCUGCAGACGAACUUUAAGAAUCACAAAUGAAUUUAGUAAGCUUGGGCCUUUUUAGCGAAAAACUCCCUUGCUGUACUGUUUAUGAUGGCAUGACAAUUUACAACUUUACGAAGCAUGUUAUAUUUCAUAGUAGGCAUAUGUGCCCACUGAGUACUUUUGUACUCAGCCCUGCAUAUAUUUCUAAAUGUGCAGGUUAAGCAGCUGCCGAUGGUGAUGAAGUGACGAGCGGGACUCUUUUGUCUUAUUAUGUAUUAAUGAACUCUAGGGUUACAUGUCUUCAUACAUGUAAUCAGAACCUUAUUCCGCUGCGUACUCAGAAGUUUUAUGUUAUUUUGGAUAAGUCGGAGUUAUCCGAACUUGUUAGUUAUUUGAGUCUAUACGACAAAAACUCUGUUAUAUUAUAGAUAUCCAUGUUGUUAACAAUGAUGAAAUACGAUCCUUUCUUGUUUGAUUA
Molecule: long non-coding RNA, 1201 nt
Organism: Salvia miltiorrhiza (redroot sage)
Lineage: Eukaryota; Viridiplantae; Streptophyta; Magnoliopsida; Lamiales; Lamiaceae
Exons: 2
Source: RefSeq, a predicted model, not a curated record